UUUGAACAUGAAGGGGUGCUGUAUUGUAUUGAGAUGAUCAUACGAUUCUUAUCUUGAUGUGAUGCAUUACAUUUAUUGAUUUCUGUAUGUUGAACCAAACUUGCAUCCCUGGGACGAACCCCCUUUGUUUAGGGUGCACUAUCUUUUUAAUAUGUUUUUGUAUGUGAUUUGCCAGAAUUUUAUUGAGAAGUUUUGUAUCUAUGUUCAUUAGAGAUAUGGGUCUGAAGUUUUCUUUCUGUGAUGUGUCUUUGCCUGGUUUUGGAAUCAGGGUGAUGUUGGCCUCAUAGAAUAAGUUUGGAAGUGUCCCCUCUUUUUCUAUUUCAUGAAAUAAUUUGAGGAGUACUGGUAUUAGUUCUUCUUUGAAGGUCUUAUAGAACUCAGCUGUUUAUCCAUCUGGUCCUGGACUUUUCUUGGUUGGUGGACUUCUGAUGGCAUCUUCUAUUUCAUUGCUUGAAAUUGAUCUGUUUAAAUUGUGUAUAUCAUCCUGAUUCUGUCUGGGUGAAUCACAUGAUUCUAGAAAUUUGUCAAUGUCUUUGAUAUUUUCAAUUUUAUUGGAGUACAAAUUUUCAAAAUAAUUUCUAAUUGUCUUCUGUAUUUCUGUAGUGUCUGUCAUGAUAUUUCCUUUUUCAUUAUGGAUUUUAGUAAUUUGAGUUUUCUCCUUCUCUUCAUUAGCAUGGAUAAGGGUUUAUCAGUUUUAUUUAUUUUUUCGAAGAACCAACUUUUUGUUUUGUUGUCAGUGUUUUUAGUUGUUACUUUUGUUUCCAUUUCAUUGAUUUCAGCUCUUAUUUUAAUCAUUUCCUGUCUUCUUCUGCUUUUGGUGUUGAUUUGUUCUUCUUUUUCUAGGACUUUGAGAUGUAAUGUUAGGUCAUUUAUUUGUUGAUUUUUUUCUUCUUUUAAGGAAUGAACUUCAUGUAAUGAACUUUCCUUUUAGUAUUGCUUUCAUAGUGUCCCAGAGAUUUUGAUGUGUUGUAUCAGUGUUCUCAUUUACCUCUAAGAUUUUUUAAAUCUCCUUUUUGAUGUUUUCUGCAAUUUAUUGUUCAUUCAAUAGCAUAAUAUUUAGUCUACAGGUGUUGGAGUAACUUCUAAUUUUCAAUUUAUCAUUGAUUUUUAAUUUCAUUCCACUGAUAGAAUGCAAGGUAGUAUCUCUACUUUUUUUGUGUUUGCUAAGAGUUGCUUUGUGAGAUAAUAUACGGUCUGUUUUAGAGACGAAUUCAUGUGCUGCUAAGUGUAUUCACUCAUUGGAUGGAAUAAUCUAUAUGUAUUUGUUAAGUCUAAGUUAUUGGUUGUAUUGAGUUCUAUAGUUUCUUUGUUUAGCAUUUGGAAGAGCUAUCUAGUGGUGAAAGAGAUGUUUUAAAGUCACCUAGUAUUAUUGGGUUGUGGUCUCUUUGACUCUUUAAAUUGAGAAGAGUUUGUUUGAUGAACAUAGAUGCUCCAUUGUUUGGGGCAUAUAUAUUUAAAGCCUGCAGUAUUUAUAGUUUAGCCCUUUGCAAAGUAAAAUGUGUACCUUUCUUCUAAAGUUUCAAGUAAUUUCAGCUUGAAUUUAUGACAGAUUAUUUUUUUACUUGUUGAUAGUGAGAUAUUUUAUAAACUAGGCAGUGUUUGAACUAUUUUGAAAAGCAGUGGUUUUAUACCUUUGUGGCCUACAGUCUGUAAUUCAAAUGGAAUACUUUUGGAGACUGACACAUAAAACACAUUAAAAAGUUCAAAAGAAUGAAUUCGGCUUUGUGACGGAUACAGUAUAGACAAUGGAAUUCGGACCUAGGAGAUUUAAGAUUUUUUAGUGUCAUUGUGAGGAAAUAAAAGAAUAAGAAUAAUAUACAUUUAUUUAUUUAAUUUUAUUUGCUUUUUUUUCCCCCUUGAAAUGGGUCUUUCUAUGACGUCCAGACAAAUUAGCUUGAACUUGUGGACUCAACACCCUCCCUGCCCGGGACUACAAGUGUGUGUUCCACCAUGCCUGGCUUACUUACUGUGUUUAAAAGUUG
RNAcentral lists this long non-coding RNA (1982 nucleotides) under Marmota monax (woodchuck). The record is from RNAcentral. Lineage: Eukaryota; Metazoa; Chordata; Mammalia; Rodentia; Sciuridae.